RNAcentral lists this ribosomal RNA (497 nucleotides) under uncultured Burkholderiales Genera incertae sedis bacterium. RNAcentral's name for it is "bacterial SSU rRNA". It matches the Rfam family "Bacterial small subunit ribosomal RNA", at positions 21 to 507 of the family's 1533-position model. The record is from RNAcentral. Lineage: Bacteria; Pseudomonadati; Pseudomonadota; Betaproteobacteria; Burkholderiales.
GGCUCAGAUUGAACGCUGCGGCACUGCCUUACACAUGCGAAGUCGAACGGCAGCACGGGGGCGAACCCGUGGUGGCGAGUGGCGAACGGGUGAGUAAUACGAUCGGAACGUGGCCCAGUAGUGGGGGACGUAGCCCGGCGAAAGCCGGAUUAAUACCGUAUACGACCUACGGGUGAAAGCGGGGGAUCGCAAGACCUCGCGCUAGUGGAGCGGCCGAUGGCAGAUUAGCUUGUUGGUGGGUAAAGGCCUACCAAGGCGACGAUCUGUAGCUGGUCUGAGAGGACGACCAGCCACACUGGGACUGAGACACGGCCCAGACUCCUACGGGAGGCAGCAGUGGGGAAUUUUGGACAAUGGGCGCAAGCCUGAUCCAGCCAUGCCGCGUGCGGGAAGAAGGCCUUCGGGUUGUAAACCGCUUUUGUCAGGGAAGAAAAGCACCGGUCUAAUACACCGGUGUCAUGACGGUACCUGAAGAAUAAGCACCGGCUAACUACGUG